RNAcentral lists this long non-coding RNA (212 nucleotides) under Elaeis guineensis (African oil palm). Its description in RNAcentral is "long non-coding RNA (EGUI_LNC077211)". Lineage: Eukaryota; Viridiplantae; Streptophyta; Magnoliopsida; Arecales; Arecaceae. The record is from RNAcentral.
GGUUCUCUUAUGACGUGUAGAGGUACCGAUAUGAUUAUAUCUAAUGUAGAAGAAAGAUGAAAAGAAAUCUUAGAAUUAUUCAAAUCAUAAAUAAGUUUAGAUUAGAUCUAAAAAUUUUAUGAUUUAUUUUUACUAUUUUAUAUAAAAUAUUCAGAUCUAAAAAUUAGUUUCAUAAUUUGAAAUUAAUGACACAUGAUGUAAGGUUUUGUAUG